RNAcentral lists this ribosomal RNA (245 nucleotides) under uncultured Rhizomicrobium sp. Its description in RNAcentral is "partial 16S ribosomal RNA". It matches the Rfam family "Bacterial small subunit ribosomal RNA", at positions 524 to 768 of the family's 1533-position model. Lineage: Bacteria; Pseudomonadati; Pseudomonadota; Alphaproteobacteria; Micropepsales; Micropepsaceae. The record is from RNAcentral.
UACGAAGGGGGCUAGCGUUGUUCGGAAUUACUGGGCGUAAAGCGCGCGCAGGCGGUCUUCCAAGUCAGUGGUGAAAGCCCGGAGCUCAACUCCGGAACUGCCAUUGAAACUGUAAGACUUGAGGACGAGAGAGGUGAGUGGAAUUCCCAGUGUAGAGGUGAAAUUCGUAGAUAUUGGGAAGAACACCGGUGGCGAAGGCGGCUCACUGGCUCGUAUCUGACGCUCAGGCGCGACAGCGUGGGGAU